Haliotis rubra (blacklip abalone) is the source of this 378-nucleotide long non-coding RNA. RefSeq lists it as uncharacterized. The record is from RefSeq and is a predicted model, not a curated record. NCBI's taxonomy places the organism in Eukaryota, Metazoa, Mollusca, Gastropoda, Lepetellida, Haliotidae. The transcript has 3 exons.
GAUCGUAAUAUUUUCUGAAAAGAUGGGUUUUGAGAGAACUUUUAAAUGAGUCAAUCGAGGGAGACAUUUUGAUUUCAGUCGGGAGUUGAUUCCACAACUGUGGAGCACCAUAGCUGAAGGAGCGAAACCCGAAUGCCCGGAGUUUCUGUCUAGGAAUAGUGAGAAGGUGUCUAUCUGCCGAUCUUAACAUUCUGGAAGGAUUGUGCUUGGUGACUAGCUCAACAAGGUACUCUGGAGACGUAAGAUGGUAACACUGGUAGGCAAGACUCAGGACCUUGAAUUCAAUUCUGGCUCUGAUUGGUAGCCAGUGAAGAGACUUAAGAACAGGCGUUAUGUGGAUCCUAGAGGGAACUUUGUUGACAAAAAUAUGUUAUCACA